AGGGCACCACCAGGAGUGGAGCCUGCGGCUUAAUUUGACUCAACACGGGAAAUCUCACCAGGCCCGGACACUGGAAGGAUUGACAGAUUGAGAGCUCUUUCUUGAUUCAGUGGGUGGUGGUGCAUGGCCGUUCUUAGUUGGUGGAGCGAUUUGUCUGGUUAAUUCCGGUAACGAACGAGACUCUGGCCUACUAACUAGACGUUAGAUCCUUUAUGGGUUUGACGAUGCUUCUUAGAGGGACGGGCGGCUUUUAGCCGCACGAGAAUGAGCAAUAACAGGUCUGUGAUGUCCUUAGAUGUUCUGGGCUGCACGCGCGCUACACUGAAGAAAUCAGCGUGUGUUCCCUAUCCGAAAGGUUUGGGAAACCCGUUGAACCUUCUUCGUGAUGGGGAUUGGGGAUUGUAAUUAUUCCCCAUGAACGAGGAAUUCCCAGUAGGCGCGAGUCAUAAGCUUGCGUCGAUUACGUCCCUGCCCUUUGUACACACCGCCCGUCGCUACUACCGAUCGAGUGAUUUAGUG
RNAcentral lists this ribosomal RNA (519 nucleotides) under uncultured eukaryote. RNAcentral's name for it is "SSU rRNA". It matches the Rfam family "Eukaryotic small subunit ribosomal RNA", at positions 1161 to 1703 of the family's 1831-position model. The record is from RNAcentral.